This 253-nucleotide ribosomal RNA is filed under the name uncultured bacterium. RNAcentral describes it as "partial 16S ribosomal RNA". It matches the Rfam family "Bacterial small subunit ribosomal RNA", at positions 524 to 776 of the family's 1533-position model. The record is from RNAcentral.
UACAGAGGGGGCAAGCGUUGUUCGGAAUUAUUGGGCGUAAAGCGCGCGCAGGCGGUCUUUUAAGUCUGAUGUGAAAGCCCCCGGCUCAACCGGGGAGGGUCAUUGGAAACUGGGAGACUUGAGUGCAGAAGAGAAGAGUGGAAUUCCACGUGUAGCGGUGAAAUGCGUAGAGAUGUGGAGGAACACCAGUGGCGAAGGCGACUCUUUGGUCUGUAACUGACGCUGAGGCGCGAAAGCGUGGGGAGCAAACAGG